GAUGAACGCUGGCGGUGUGCCUAAUACAUGCAAGUCAAGCGAACAGACGAGGAGCUUACUCCUCUGACGUUAGCGGCUGACGGGUGAGUAACACGUGGAUAACCUACCUAUAAGACUGGGGUAACUUCGGGAAACCGGAGCUAAUACCGGAUAACAUCAUGAACCGCAUGGUUCAACAGUGGAAGACGGUCUUGCUGUCACUUAUAGAUGGAUCCGCGUCGCAUUAGCUAGUUGGUAAGGUAACGGCGUACCAAGGCAACGAUGCGUAGCCGCACUGAGAGGGGGAACGGCCGCACGGGACCUGCGACACGGUCCAGGCUCCGACGGGAGGCAGCAGUAGGGCAUCUUCCGCAAUGGGCGAAAGCCUGACGGAGCAACGCCGCGUGAGUGCAGAGGGUCGUCGGAUCGUAGAGCCCUGUUAUUGGGGAAGCACCAAUGUGUAAGUGACUAGGCUCGCUUUGACGGUACCUAGUCUGAGAGGUGCGGCUAACUUCGGC
This 497-nucleotide ribosomal RNA is filed under the name uncultured bacterium. RNAcentral's name for it is "partial 16S ribosomal RNA". It matches the Rfam family "Bacterial small subunit ribosomal RNA", at positions 28 to 508 of the family's 1533-position model. The record is from RNAcentral.